RNAcentral lists this ribosomal RNA (24 nucleotides) under Diaporthe columnaris. RNAcentral's name for it is "partial 18S ribosomal RNA". RNAcentral also lists the same sequence under 5 other names. Lineage: Eukaryota; Fungi; Ascomycota; Sordariomycetes; Diaporthales; Diaporthaceae. The record is from RNAcentral.
GGUGAACCAGCGGAGGGAUCAUUG